UGGUGCAGAUCUGAAGAGGUUGAAGUC
Molecule: non-coding RNA, 27 nt
Filed under: Rattus norvegicus (Norway rat)
Lineage: Eukaryota; Metazoa; Chordata; Mammalia; Rodentia; Muridae
Source: RNAcentral